AUUGAACGCUGGCGGCAGGCCUAACACAUGCAAGUCGAGCGAGCGGCGGACGGGUGAGUAAUGUCUGGGAAACUGCCUGAUGGAGGGGGAUAACUACUGGAAACGGUAGCUAAUACCGCAUACCAUCAGAUGUGCCCAGAUGGGAUUAGCUAGUAGGUGGGGUAACGGCUCACCUAGGCGACGAUACCUAGCUGGUCUGAGAGGAUGACCAGCCACACUGGAACUCAGACACGGUCCAGACUCUGACGGGAGCCAGCAGUGGGGAAUAUUGCACAAGGGGCGCAAGCCUGAGACAGCCAUGCCGCGUGUUUGAAGAAGGCCUUCGGGUUGUAAAGCACUUUCAGCGGGGAGGCGUUACCCCCAGAAGAAGCACCGGCUAACUCCGUGCCAGCAGCCGCGGUAAUAC
Molecule: ribosomal RNA, 406 nt
Filed under: uncultured bacterium
Lineage: Bacteria
Description: partial 16S ribosomal RNA
Rfam family: Bacterial small subunit ribosomal RNA
Source: RNAcentral